This is a non-coding RNA of Elaeis guineensis (African oil palm), 107 nucleotides long. Lineage: Eukaryota; Viridiplantae; Streptophyta; Magnoliopsida; Arecales; Arecaceae. The record is from RefSeq and is a predicted model, not a curated record.
GAAGCAUGGUGGGGGCAUUUGCGAAUGAGGUCCCUUAACCUUUUCCACAUCUCAAAAAAAAGUUUACCAUCCAGUUAGAAAAAACUAGUGAUGACUUUUCUAAUUUG